GACGAACGCUGGCGGCGUGCUUAACACAUGCAAGUCGAGCGAUGAAGUUCCUUCGGGAAUGGAUUAGCGGCGGACGGGUGAGUAACACGUGGGUAACCUGCCUCAUAGAGGGGAAUAGCCUUCCGAAAGGAAGAUUAAUGCCGCAUAAGAUUGCAGUUUCACAUGAAACAGCAAUUAAGGGAGUAAUCCGCUAUGAGAUGGACCCGCGUCGCAUUAGCUAGUUGGUAAGGUAACGGCUUACCAAGGCGACGAUGCGUAGCCGACCUGAGAGGGUGAUCGGCCACAUUGGGACUGAGACACGGCCCAGACUCCUACGGGAGGCAGCAGUGGGGAAUAUUGCACAAUGGGGGAAACCCUGAUGCAGCAACGCCGCGUGAGUGAUGAAGGUCUUCGGAUUGUAAAACUCUGUCUUCAGGGACGAUAAUGACGGUACCUGAGGGGGAAGCCACGGCUAACUACGUGCCAGCAGCCGCAGUAA
Molecule: ribosomal RNA, 478 nt
Filed under: uncultured bacterium
Lineage: Bacteria
Description: partial 16S ribosomal RNA
Rfam family: Bacterial small subunit ribosomal RNA
Source: RNAcentral